CAGGCUUAACACAUGCAAGUCGAGCGGAAACGAUGUAGCUUGCUACAGGCGUCGAGCGGCGGACGGGUGAGUAAUGCUUGGGAAUAUGCCAUAAGGUGGGGGACAACAGUUGGAAACGACUGCUAAUACCGCAUAAUGUAUUAUCUUUAGCGGAUAAUACCAAAGGAGGGGCUCUUCGGACCUUUCGCCUUUUGAUUAGCCCAAGUGAGAUUAGCUAGUUGGUGAGGUAAAGGCUCACCAAGGCGACGAUCUCUAGCUGGUUUGAGAGGAUGAUCAGCCACACUGGGACUGAGACACGGCCCAGACUCCUACGGGAGGCAGCAGUGGGGAAUAUUGCACAAUGGGGGAAACCCUGAUGCAGCCAUGCCGCGUGUGUGAAGAAGGCCUUCGGGUUGUAAAGCACUUUCAGUUGCGAGGAAAGGUUGGUAGUUAAUAACUGCUAACUGUGACGUUAACAACAGAAGAAGCACCGGCUAACUCCGUGCCAGCAGCCGCGGUAAUACGGAGGGUGCGAGCGUUAAUCGGAAUUACUGGGCGUAAAGCGUGCGUAGGUGGUUUGUUAAGCAAGAUGUGAAAGCCCAGGGCUCAACCUUGGAACUGCAUUUUGAACUGGCAGACUAGAGUAUUGUAGAGGGUGGUGGAAUUUCCAGUGUAGCGGUGAAAUGCGUAGAGAUUGGAAGGAACAUCAGUGGCGAAGGCGGCCACCUGGACAACUACUGACACUGAGGCACGAAAGCGUGGGGAGCGAACAGGAUUAGAUACCCUGGUAGUCCACGCCGUAAACGAUGUCAACUAGCCUGUUUGUGUCCUUGAGACGUGAGUAGCGCAAGCUAACGCGAUAAAGUUGACCGUCUGGGGAGUUACGGCCGCAAGGUUAAAAACUCAAAUGAAUUGACGGGGGGCCCGCACAAGCGGUGGAGCAUGUGGUUUAAUUCGAUGCAACGCGAAGAACCUUACCAUCCCUUGACAUCCACAGAAUUCACUAGAGAUAGAGAAGUGCCUUCGGGAACUGUGGGACAGGUGCUGCAUGGCUGUCGUCAGCUCGUGUUGUGAAAUGU
RNAcentral lists this ribosomal RNA (1058 nucleotides) under uncultured bacterium. RNAcentral's name for it is "bacterial SSU rRNA". It matches the Rfam family "Bacterial small subunit ribosomal RNA", at positions 43 to 1075 of the family's 1533-position model. The record is from RNAcentral.